UAUUGCUCCCGUUCCACCCUGAACAUGCCCGAUCUCGUCUGAUCUUGGAAGCUAAGCAAGGUCGGGCCUGCUUAUCAGGCUAUAA
RNAcentral lists this ribosomal RNA (85 nucleotides) under Sorex araneus (European shrew). The record is from RNAcentral. Lineage: Eukaryota; Metazoa; Chordata; Mammalia; Eulipotyphla; Soricidae.